This 3352-nucleotide unclassified non-coding RNA is filed under the name Hevea brasiliensis (rubber tree). Lineage: Eukaryota; Viridiplantae; Streptophyta; Magnoliopsida; Malpighiales; Euphorbiaceae. The record is from RNAcentral.
GGGGAUCGCGUCUUGUCUGUAGAUUGUGCUGGGUCUAGUUUGCAGUGUGGCUGUUGUAAGAAGACUUAUUCUGGCAAGGAAACACAUCUUGAAUUGACUGUGGCUAGUGGGUCCAGUAAAUAUGACGAUUCUAUGCCAUUGGCUACUGAACUUUUCAGGCUUCCACUGAUAUCAUUUCUCUAUGAGAGGGGUUGGCGUCAAAAUUUCAUAUGGGGUGGUUUCCCUGGCCCAGAGAAAGAGGUGAUGAUAGGACAGUUUCUUUAUUUGAAGUUACUUGGGCAAUUUUUUUUUCCCAGUCUUAGAGUUCUUUUAAUGAUUGUCUUCUACAACCUUCACCCUGCGCAAUUCUUUCUGGCAGUGAAAAGCAUGCUGUCUCAACCUUAUAAAUAUAAUAAUGUAUAUAUUUAUGUGAAUAUUCUCUAGAAAUUUGUUUAAGCAUCAUAAUACGCAAUGGAGUUAUCAUCAUUCAUCUCAAAUUCCAUUUUGUGGAUUGGCUAAAUGGCCUAACUGAGUGCACAGAAAUGCAAACAGACUCAUUUUGCUUACACAAUUAGCCUUUUAAAAUGCUAACAUAUUUAAGAUAUAUCUUGAUAAUAAUUGAUGCUGUUUGGUAAAUUGAAGUGAUAUUAAUUAGGUCUGCUAGUUUCUUUUUUUCCAUUAUUUUAUGUUAUUGCUGCUAAAGAUACAGGGAUUUGUAAUGCAGUUUGAAUUGAUGAAGGAUUACCUGCAGCCAGGUUUAGGUGGAAAUAUUAUUGAUGCUAGUUGUGGUAGUGGAUUAUUUUCCAGACUUUUUGCCAAAAGUGGUUUGUUUUCUCAUGUUGUUGCUCUGGACUACUCAGAAAACAUGCUACGGCAGUGCUAUGAAUUCAUCAUGCAGGAGGAAAACUUUCCCAAAGAGAACCUAAUAUUGGUCAGAGCAGAUAUCUCUAGACUUCCUUUUCUUUCUGGCUCUGUUGAUGCUGUCCAUGCUGGUGCUGCUAUACACUGUUGGCCUUCACCAUCAGCAGCUGUAAGCUUUACUUUUACUUGGGUAUUUUAAGAUAGUUGUUCUACUCGCUUGAGUUCAUUACUGGCACGUCAGUAGCUGUUGUUUUGAAAGGCGUAUAAGGUUCACACCUUAAGGAGAGCGAGGCAGGUAAGGAAAGCAAGAGGUUUACACCUCAAAAAGCAUCAGGCAUUUAUUAUGUUUGUGCUUCACAAAUUUGAUGUUCUAGAUCAUUAUUUUAUUUCCUUAAUUAUGAAAACUUGGAGUACCUAUUCCAUAGAUUCAUACUUCACCCUUCCGAUAUUGUUAUAUUUUUUCCCUUAAUUAUGAAAACUCAAAGUAUUUAUUCCAUAAAUUCUCUUAGCUUAGCCUUAUUUCAUGAAAACAGCUUUGUGAACUCCAUUGAAAGCUUUGAUAGACAAAUCUCAUUUGAGGUUUCUUGUUUUCUCUCAAUUGUUGGUAUUAUUUGCUUUAUGAGUUUAUGGUUUACAUUUUAAAAAUUUUGGUGUGAUGAAUAAUCUUGGGUAUACUUUAUAUAUUUGAUUUCUUUACAAUAUUUUCUCUUUCUUCCAACAUACUUUUAUUUUCCCUUUAUUUCCUUAGAGUUCACUUUGUCUAGUUGCCAUGCAAGCUUGGAAAGCUUGGUUCUUUGACUCGAUAUUCUCUUCAAAAGUUGAUAGAUAAUUGCAGCCAGCAAAUUCUUUCUAAAUCCUCUUCAUGUUGCACAUAUGCAUUUCUCCCCUGGAUUAAAUGGAGGCUUCCUCCUAGUUUUUUUGUGGAGUGUUUUUCUGUCAGUAUAUCAGAAACAUAAACCUAAUAGAAUUGAAAUUCAUUACACUCUCUGGUUCGCUUGCAAUAAUGGAUUUCAUAUGUUAAGGGAUAUCAUAAAGUACUCUGGAAAAAAGAGAAGAAAGGAUAUGACUCAGAAAACUGAUAAACCCUUAAACACAUGCAAGAUAUGAAUUCAGUUUCUAGAUUUUGAGAUGAAGGAUUUCUAACAGCAGCCUCCUGUAUGCAACUGUGCUUUCCAAGAUCCCAAGCCCUUGCUUAGCCAGUAUAAGAUCUCUUGAUUUGUUAUCUACUGUUUUAUAGGUAGCUGAAAUUAGUCGAGUUCUGAAACCUGAAGGCGUUUUCAUUGCUACGACUUUCAUACUUGAUGGGCCUUUCAGUUUUUUCCCACUCUUGGGGCCUCUGCGCCAGGUAUUUUUUUUCUUUUUUUCUUUUGGUUUUUUGUUUUUGUUUUGUUCGGAACUUGAAUGGCUGCACUUCUAAUAUUUCUAUUUAGCAUUCACGUUUGGGUAAAAAAAAAAGUUCUAGUAAAAUAAUUAGAGUUUCAGUUAAUGACAUUGAAACAGAUCAAACCUUCCAUCAGCAUCUCUUGUAUUGAGAUCAUCAUGGAAUUUGCUAAUUUUCUCGUGAUAGGACUUUUAUGUCCUAGCAUGGUAAAACCAAAAAAUAGGAGGAGAUGAUGAUGAAAAGAAAAAGAGAGCUACUAUGUGGCUGUUUUAAUUAGGACUUGGUUCAAUUUUUAAUGUUGCUAUUCAGAAGACUUCUUUUCAAUAUGUUCUUUCCCAAGGUUUUCAAGUGUUAUUUUUAUGUAACUUGAAUUUUGGAUAUUUCUUCAUGGUCUCGAAUUGUAAUCCGAUUUGAAAGCUUCGUGUUGCGAUCCAAUUGGGAUAAAAAAUGAGAUCAGUAGUGGGCUUCGGGCAUGGGUUAGAAUUGUGAGAUAUUCGAGAAACACACUGGGAUUGGAUUUGAGAGUUUCAAGUUAUUGUAUUUUGCUUUUUUCAUCAUAGUGGAACUUUUUCUCUUAUUUUGCCCAUAGACGUAGAUCUUACAGUCGAACCACGUAAAUUUUAAAUCUUGUGCUAUUAUUUUUCUUUUUUCUUAUACCAUGCGAUUGUAUGUAUGCUUAAAUUUGCGUGUCUGCUGUAACAUCAAGUUUAUUCAACAAGCUUUGCUUGAAAGAAUUUGAUCUAACCAUCAAGCAUUUACUGAUUGUAUGAGUAACAAUGAAUAAUUGUGUAUCAUUCUAGAAUAUGGCACUAGCGGGCAAUCAUAUCUUUUUACAUGAACGUGAACUGGAAGAUAUCUGCAGAGCCUGCGGGCUAGUUGGAUUUACAGCUAUAAGGAAUGGUCGAUUUGUGAUGUUUUCUGCUAGAAAACCCAGCUAAGCAUUCAAUUCCUUGGUGUUAUCUGCCCCAUCUCUCAAAUUGCAUCGGUCUGCAGAGCCAUAUGUACAUUUGAUAUCUGUUAUAGUUUGCAUCUCCUGUAAAAGUAGGUUAUAUUUAUUGUGUAUAGGGAAGGUGUGAGAAUGAAGUAUUCUUUUUCAAAUAUAUCAGUGUAAAAAAAUCUUUAACAUUUUAC